Molecule: long non-coding RNA, 819 nt
Organism: Populus euphratica (Euphrates poplar)
Lineage: Eukaryota; Viridiplantae; Streptophyta; Magnoliopsida; Malpighiales; Salicaceae
Exons: 2
Source: RefSeq, a predicted model, not a curated record
AAUGCCAACAAAAAAUUAGCAAUCACAAAUCCCAUAACUAAAAGAGAAAAUGCCACCAAUAGAUUAUCACAAAAAACAACCAAUUAAACAACAACCAAAUCUCGCUUGAAUAAUUAGAAAAUCCAGAACUCAUCAUUUUUAUGAAAACACACUUGUAAGCACUCUCAAAGUGAAAAUUGUAACUUGCUUCCGUAAGUGACACAAAAUAAGUUUCUGAAAACAGCUAACAAAAUCUUACCCUUUACAUUCAUCAAUCCUAUACAAGUACUCAAAUCAAAUAUCAAAAGCCCAAACCUCAGUCUCAAUAACAUACUUCAACCUUAUAAUUACAGUCACUAUUCUUACAUAGGUCUUUCGCAUCAAAAACCCACCAAUCCAUUUUCAAUAACAAUCCUAAAAAAAAAAAUCAAGAACACAACUUUAUAAGCAAAACAUCACAUUAAAAAACAACCCACCAUAAGAAUCUUCAAAACAAACUACAGAAAUUAACAAAACGCCACACUCACUUGCAUUGAUCUUCCACAUUAUCAAGAGCCCAUAUUCUUACAUGGGUCUUUCGCAUCAUCAAAACCCCACAAUCCACUUUCAAUAACAAUCCAAUAAAAGCAUCAAGAAUACAACUUUGUAAACAAAACAUCACAUUAACAACCAACCCAGCAUAAAAAUCUUCAAGAAAAACUACAGAUAUUAACAAAAUGUCACACUCACUUGCAUUUAUCUUCCACAUUAUCAAGAACCCGUAUCUCAUUUUCAAUAACAAUCCACUUCAAAUACUAAGAUCAAAACUUUAUCAACAAAACAAACAUAGCAAAAAAAAAA